CUCAACCAGAUCUUGCUGUCGUCAGCUGGCUGGUAUUCAGACUGUCUCUUCUUUUAGUCAGGAUGUUCCUUCCUUCCCGGCCCCUCUCUCCAUCUGUUGACCUUCAAGAUCCAGAGCAAAUGCCUUCUCCCUAAAGGACAGGAAUCUCUAAAGAGUGAGAGGAAACCUGAUGACAGGCACUGCCCAAAGAAGAUGGAACUGUCAUAGUUGUUUUUGUUUAGGAUCUACUUACCCCCCUGAGAACAUAAGCUUGAUGAAGUCAAGGACCGUUUCUUAUCACUGUUGAAUUCCAGUUCCUGGUACAGUGCCUGGCACAUAGUGGAUGGUCAAUGGAUUUAUGAAUGAAUGAACAAAUUAACAAACGACCGUGGGAUGUGUGAAGAGCGGUGAGAAGACUGGACUCUUUGGAAAGAAGUGUCUUUCCUUGAGGAGUAGAGGAAUCUCCGGUCCUCCAAGAGACUGGCAGAGGAACAAGUAAAUGGGCCUGCAUGGGAUUCAAAACACAGGCAAGUGGAACCAGCUGAACAAGGUAUGAUGAUUGCCAAGGUGGACCCUGUGUAGAUUGCAAUAGGGCACUUGAAUCUGAAAUUAAAUUAAAGCACAAACAAAGGAAAAUUGAUCUGCAUAGCCUCCUGGACUCUACUUGGUCAGCCGACAGUUAGACUUAAAAAAAAAAAAAAGAUUUGUUCAGUUCUACCCUUCCCUUGCUAAGAAUACAGUAAAAUGUUAAUGUGAUCACAAUACUUUUAUUAACACCUACCAUGAUUGUAUUCACUCUUUAAGCAGAUAGGCUCAUUUUUAUCUCAUAUUGAACCAGUUGUUGACCAAAAAAAUGGUUUGUUUUAUUUUGUUUUUACAUAAACUGUUGUUUUGUAGGUCUUUCCGUCCUAUGCUCGUAAAUUGAUUAUUGGACCUAAAUGUAGUGCUUUACAUUCCUGGCACAUCCUCUCUUAUUGAUUUUAGACCAUCUUUCACCUGAUGGAAUUCAUUUUAAACCUCGAUCCUAUCAUCAAUCAUAGUAGUUGCUCCUCUUAGCUUGGGGUAAUCCAUAUAUAUGAUCUGCAAAUCCCCAAAGAUUUGGAUGCCUAGAGAUCCUUUGGAGAGUUUUAAGGGGCAAGGAGUGUUUACCAGCUGAUAUACCACCAGCCACAUGCAAAAAAGAAAUGACAUUUGGCUCUAGGAUGACAUUAGGCUCAUGAGUACGUGGGGCAAAACUUGAGGGUAGUUGGAAAGGAGAAACUGUUGGAAUUCCAAGUUAAAGCAAGCCAAGGUCAGAAUCUCCAGUUUAAGCAACCCAGAAAGUUUUCUUCUAGGAAGCAACAUUUUAGGUGCAGAAAGGGGAAGAGUAGCUCGACAAGUUUUGAGGCAGACAGCAAGGGGGAAAGGGCAUGUUGCUCAGUUUAUUUAUAUAUUUAUUUUUAUUUAUUUAUUUUGGACUGUGUUGGGUCUUCACUGCUGCAUGCGGGCUUUCUCUAGUUGCGGCGAGCGGGGGCUACUCUUCGUUGCGGUGCGCGGGCUUCUCAUUGCGGUGGCUUCUCUUGUUGCGGAGCACGGGCUCUAGGCUCGUGAGCUUCAGUAGUUGUGGCACGCAGACUCUAGAACGCAGGCUCAGUAGUUGUGGUGCACGGGCUUAGUUGCUCCACGGCAUGUGGGAUCUUCCCUGACCAGGGCUCAAACCCGUGUCCCUUGCAUUGGCAGGAGAAUUCUUAACCACCGCGCCACCAGGGAAGUCCCACGUUGCUCAGUUUAGAAGCAAAACUAGGGGUGAGAGAAGGAU
Molecule: long non-coding RNA, 1777 nt
Organism: Physeter macrocephalus (sperm whale)
Lineage: Eukaryota; Metazoa; Chordata; Mammalia; Artiodactyla; Physeteridae
Exons: 3
Source: RefSeq, a predicted model, not a curated record